This 436-nucleotide ribosomal RNA is filed under the name uncultured archaeon. RNAcentral describes it as "bacterial SSU rRNA". It matches the Rfam family "Archaeal small subunit ribosomal RNA", at positions 474 to 903 of the family's 1478-position model. The record is from RNAcentral.
UACCAGCUCUCCGAGUGGUAGGGAUGAUUAUUGGGCUUAAAGCGUCCGUAGCCGGCUUAGCAAGUCUCCUGUUAAACUCAGCGACUUAAUCGUUGAAUCGCGGGAGAUACUACUAGGCUAGGAGGCGGGAGAGGUCGACGGUACUUCCGGGGUAGGGGUGAAGUCCUAUAAUCCCGGGAGGACCACCAGUGGCGAAGGCUGUCGACUAGAACGCGCUCGACGGUGAGGGACGAAAGCUGGGGGGAGCGAACCGGAUUAGAUACCCGGGUAGUCCCAGCUGUAAACGAUGCGGGCUAGGUGUUGGAAUGGCUACGUGCCAUUUUCAGUGCCGCAGGGAAGCCAUUAACGCCCCGCCGCCUGGGGGAGUACGGCCGCAAGGCUAGAAACUUAAAGGAAUUGGGCGGGGGAGCACCACAAGGCGUGAAGCUUGCGGUUC